UAUGUAUGCUUUAUGUAAUAGAAUAGGUAUAGAUGUAUGUGGGUUCUGAUAAGAGUUGAUGGGUGGAGUUGUAGGAGAGUGAUUUGGUUGAAUUGGAGACUACAGUGGAACCCGCAUGGCCAAAGUUGGUUGAGCCGUUGGAGAAGAUCCUAGACCGACUAUGGAUCGUUUGGGGGAUUGUGAAUCAUCUGAAUGCUAUCAAGGAUUCUCCUGAACUCCGUUCUGCCAUCACAGAAGUUCAGGUUGAGUUUCAGUUAAGGGUGGGCCAGAGCAAACCCAUUUAUAAUGCAUUUAAAACAAUCCGAGAAUCUUCAGAUUGGGAAACAUUGAGUGAUGCCCGUAAACAAGUAGUGGAAGAUAUUUCCCAUGUAGGAGUGUGCUUCUUGUGGAAUGCAUGCCUGUGGAGAAUGUGGCU
Non-coding RNA from Camellia sinensis, 415 nucleotides. The record is from RefSeq and is a predicted model, not a curated record. NCBI's taxonomy places the organism in Eukaryota, Viridiplantae, Streptophyta, Magnoliopsida, Ericales, Theaceae.